This is a non-coding RNA of Misgurnus anguillicaudatus (oriental weatherfish), 1715 nucleotides long. The record is from RefSeq and is a predicted model, not a curated record. NCBI's taxonomy places the organism in Eukaryota, Metazoa, Chordata, Actinopteri, Cypriniformes, Cobitidae.
UAUACACUGUAAAAAAUUUCCGGGAUUUCACAAGAUGUAACUGUGAUAUUUCACAGUAAAUUACAUUAUUAGCAUGUCACAGGCUUUAGCUGUGACAUUUCACAAUAUAGUACAGUAUUCAGACUUUUAUUGUGAAAAUAAUGCCAUCGGCGAAAUCACAGGGAACGGCUGUAAGUUCCGACGCGCGCUAUCUGUUUGGGUUCUCUCAUCUCUGCGGUCUCAUCCAACGGAUUCUGUGGUAAGUGUUAAAAUGUCAAAUUUUGUCAAAUAAAUGAUUGAUUUAUUUUCAAAAUAUAUGUCAUAGUGCAUGGAGUAUUAUCCAAAUGUCGUUAUUUGUAGGUUUCGCGUGGGUUGAACCGCUGAAUUUAAAAAUAAAGCAAUGAACAGAUGUUGGUAGUGUUACUCAUCUUUCUGCGGUAUCCACUGGGGAGUAAAGUUAUGAGGUAUUUUUUCCACACUUCACAAGGAUGGGGACAUCACUCAGAAGAGUGAAGUUUCGAGAAGCCCUGGAUAACAACUACAAUAACAUUCUGAAGUUCGUCCAAGGAGUCAACUAUCAUCAACGGGGUGCUUCUUGGGCAUUAAUUCGGAGACAGACAGGCAGAAAGGACAGAAACAACAAGCUGCAAGUCUGUACACUGAUUAGAAAACUUAUGACUUGAAUGGAUGUCAGUCUAGUGUGUCACAAAUACUAGUUCUUUGUUUAGCUAGAGGCGAUUGUACACUUUGUACUCUUACAAUGUUCUAUAUCAGGAGUCUCCAACGUGGUGCCCAUGGGCAGCAGGUAGCCCGCACAGAGUCUGUGAGGUGCCCAACAAAUCACAUUCUAUUAAUAGUCUCAAUUGUAAUAUUUGUUGAUUACAUAUUUUUUAUAUUGACUUGGCUUGGUUUACAUAUGUUACAAUUUUAAACAAUACAAAAACAUAUCAAAAAGUACAAUGAAAUAAAUCAACAAGUAAAACAAAAAAAAGUUUUGAGUAGACUAUAUCAAAAGUUAGCCCUCCAGAAUGUUUUAUCCAUUGUGGUAGUCCUUGCUCACAAAAAGGUUGGAGACCCCUGUUCUAUAUUGUGUCUGUUACAUAAAGAUACAUGAAGAAAUUAGUGAAUGUCAGUCUACAUUGUAAAAAUAAAAUAUUUGUUGCACUUAUUUUUUAAGUUUAAUUAACUCUAAAUUACAAUUUAUUUCAACUUUCUUGACUAGUGAGGAGUUGCUAUUAAUUAUAAAAAAUAAAGUUGAAAUAACUUAAGCUAACUACUUUAAUUUUAUAAUUUAUAGCAACUCUUCAUUAGUCAAAAAAGUUAAAUGAAUUAUAAAUUCAAGUUGAUUAAAUUGAAAAAUGUAAGUUCCGUUUUUUACAGUGUAGAGCGGGGUGGGCAUUCCUGGUCUUUGAGGGCCACUGUCCUGCAAAGUUUAGCUCCAACCCUAAUCAAACACACCUCAAUGUCAUUUCCAAGUCAUACUGAAGCCUUUGAUUGAGAUUUUCAGGUGUGUUUGAUUAGGGUUGGAGCUAAACUUUGCAGGACAGUGGCCUUCAAGGACCUGGAAUGACCACCCCUGCUGUAGAGUGUAAGCAGUGUUCCAAUGCACGAAAGGAAAUAUUAUUCUGUGUAGUUAUUAUUCUGAUGUUAUUUAUACUAUCUGAGAUAGUCAAUGAAUAAUAUGUAAUAAUAAUAUGUAAUAAUAUGUUAUGUACAAAAUAAAAGUAUGAAAUCGA